AACGAACGCUGGCGGCAUGCCUAACACAUGCAAGUCGAACGAGACCUUCGGGUCUAGUGGCGCACGGGUGCGUAACGCGUGGGAACCCGCCCUUAGGUUCGGAAUAACUCCCCGAAAGGGGUGCUAAUACCGGAUAAUGUCUUCGGACCAAAGAUUUAUCGCCUUUGGAUGGGCCCGCGUUGGAUUAGCUAGUUGGUAGGGUAAAAGCCUACCAAGGCGACGAUCCAUAGCUGGUCUGAGAGGAUGAUCAGCCACACUGGGACUGAGACACGGCCCAGACUCCGACGGGAGGCAGCAGUGGGGAAUAUUAGACAAUGGGCGAAAGCCUAAUCAAGCAAUGCCGCGUGAGUGAUGAAGGCCUUAGGGUUGUAAAGCUCUUUUACCCGGGAUGAUAAUGACAGUACCGGGAGAAUAAGCUCCGGCUAACUCCGUG
Molecule: ribosomal RNA, 433 nt
Filed under: uncultured bacterium
Lineage: Bacteria
Description: partial 16S ribosomal RNA
Rfam family: Bacterial small subunit ribosomal RNA
Source: RNAcentral